RNAcentral lists this ribosomal RNA (831 nucleotides) under Triticum aestivum (bread wheat). RNAcentral describes it as "partial small subunit ribosomal RNA". Lineage: Eukaryota; Viridiplantae; Streptophyta; Magnoliopsida; Poales; Poaceae. The record is from RNAcentral.
AUGGUUAGCGUCCCACUAUUCCCAUGCCACGAACGCCAGGAGGGCUAUUUCCACACUUCCAGUAGACUCCUCUUCAAAGAAGAAGGCGACGGCUUUUCCUACGUCUAUCUUGAUAUGGAAUCAGAUGGAACAAAAUCUAGAGUGCACAUUUAUAUGUUACAAGGUGGUGUCUGGUGCGUUCAUGCCUCAGCAACAACACAGCUCCCUUGUCAGCCACUAAAACUGAAUACUCUACUUGCUGACAAUAAAAUCUAUAUGGAAGCCACCCUGAGUGAAAUUCUUGUGUUGGAUUUGAUAGCCUUAAGUUUCUCCACAUUUCAUCUCCCGCAAGGGCUUCUUAUUGGUGACCAUGGAACCAUGUUGUCACGGGCAGAUGAUGAUACCGGUGUGUAUCUCAUUCAUUUGGAGGAGUCUCGGCUUUGCAUCUGGCUCCGCACAGGGGAUAACUGGUUGCUGGUGGAUACAAUUUGCUUUCAUGAGAUGUGUGCUCAAUUGGGAAUGUCUGAUAUCACAAAUUGGCUGUUUAUAAAUCAGGUGGGCGGCAAUGCCGAGUUUCUUUUCUUGCAGAUGGGUCAUUGCCUAGUCUAUGUGGGUAUCAAGUGCAGGAAGUUGUGCAAAGUGUUAACAAGCAAGGAUCAAUGGUGGGGUCGUAUCCAUCCUUGUAUGAUGAUCUGGCCUCCCACAUUCCCUGCGCUCAAGAAUGAUCCUCCAAGUUGCAGGUACAGGUUUUGCGAUGAUCAUGACGCGAGAGCGCUGUUUACUUGUUUUGGAGUUCCUCUUCUGCUUCUUCUUCGAUCAGGGGAUAGGUUCCAGGUCGGCAGCCUGGGCUAG